RNAcentral lists this ribosomal RNA (625 nucleotides) under uncultured bacterium. Its description in RNAcentral is "bacterial SSU rRNA". It matches the Rfam family "Bacterial small subunit ribosomal RNA", at positions 62 to 684 of the family's 1533-position model. The record is from RNAcentral.
UCGAACGGAGUUGUCACCAUGAAGUUUUCGGAUGGAUUGGUAACAACUUAGUGGCGGACGGGUGAGUAACGCGUGGGUAACCUGCCUCAUACUGGGGGAUAGCAACUGGAAACGGCUGCUAAAACCGCAUAAGAUCGCAUCACCGCAUGGUGAGGCGGUUAAAUAUCGAAAGAUAGGUAUGAGAUGGGCCCGCGUCUGAUUAGCUAGUUGGUGAGAUAAGAGCCCACCAAGGCGACGAUCAGUAGCCGGCUUGAGAGAGUGACCGGCCACAUUGGGACUGAGACACGGCCCAAACUCCUACGGGAGGCAGCAGUGGGGAAUAUUGCACAAUGGGGGAAACCCUGAUGCAGCGACGCCGCGUGAGUGAAGAAGUGCUUCGGCAUGUAAAGCUCUAUCAGCAGGGAAGAAGAUGACGGUACCUGACUAAGAAGCCCCGGCUAACUACGUGCCAGCAGCCGCGGUAAUACGUAGGGGGCAAGCGUUAUCCGGAUUUACUGGGUGUAAAGGGAGCGUAGGUGGCAGAUCAAGUCAGAUGUGAAAGCCCGUGGCUCAACUGCGGGGUUGCAUUUGAAACUGGUUUGCUAGAGUGCAGGAGAGGUAAGUGGAAUUCCUAGUGUAGCGGUGA